Molecule: unclassified non-coding RNA, 336 nt
Filed under: Hevea brasiliensis (rubber tree)
Lineage: Eukaryota; Viridiplantae; Streptophyta; Magnoliopsida; Malpighiales; Euphorbiaceae
Source: RNAcentral
GGUCUUCAACUUCAACAAGUCGGCGAUGAUCCUUUUCCACCCCUGCCUACCACUGGCAUCACCUCUCUUCGUCCCUGUGAAAACCUAUCGAACAAUAAUAGUUUUUCUACUAGGUCUUUCUCAUCUGUAUUACCACAUUCUGCAGAUUUUCCACCCAUAACAAAGAAUGGUAAUUGCAAUAAAUUGACGUCACUUAGUGAUUCUGGUUUAGUUAAGGUUCUCGAGGAGAAGGAUCUUGAUUUUGCCUUCAACCAUCUCAAAUAACUUCACAGCUGGGUUGACGAAAGUUUGAUCGAGGAUAUCAUGGCCUCUGUGAAUAAUGAUAUUGAUAAGGCC